GGCUUUGGCUCAUUAUCGGCCGCAGCUGGUUUCUGGAGACAUGAGAUUAUAGUCAAAGACAUUCAUCUCUCACGGUGGGUUGUCAACAAAAGACCCAGCGCUGGUCGGUACAACAACAAGCAGUGUCAGCGAUUGCUCACCUUUGCACCAUCCUGUGUGUGUGUGUGUGUCUGUGUGUGUACCUGUUAAUUGAUUUCAUCCCUCAGGAAACUCAUUUCAUCAUACUGUGUGUUUUUAACCCUUGUCUUGCAGCAGUCUUUCACCGCUGGUUCUGCAUGGAGACUCGGAGCCUCCUGGGAAAUUAAAUCCUCCUGAGUGAGCGUGUGCAAGGUGAGGAGGAGGGAUUAGGAAGAGGGAGCCUUAAAAUUACAGGGGACUUCUUGUAGUCAGAUUAGUGUCUUUUUUGGUAUUUAACACAGAUUUUUAGCUGUGGUAACAGGUCAAUACUGACCUGCUGAGUUAUUUUCAACCUGUUCACCCUUUACUAAACCAGCCAGGUCUGUCUGAGCAGAAACCUCACCCAGAGCGUCACUGGGUGUGUCCAAAUUAGGUGACAUGUGAAACUGAUUUUGUAGUUUGAAUUUUUUCCAGCAACUAGUGUGUCAUGGAGUUUUAGCAGGAGUUUAACAGUUGAGAUGGGUUUUAUUUAAACACUGAUCAGAAAAAGACCAUUGUAGUAAAUUGAUCAUUUAAAACAUUUAUUGUUUGACAAAACCUACUGAUUUUUUUUCUUUGCUACAAAAUGUUUGACAUAUUUCCAGCUGCAUGAAGUGAAUUACACCAGACAGUGUUUGAAUCUUUGCAGUGAAUAUAAUAAUAAAAACAUGUUUCCAUCUCAGUGCUAAAAAGGCCACCUAUUAACUGCCUGUAUAUGCAAAUUCAAAUA
Long non-coding RNA from Cynoglossus semilaevis (tongue sole), 886 nucleotides. RefSeq lists it as uncharacterized. The transcript has 2 exons. Lineage: Eukaryota; Metazoa; Chordata; Actinopteri; Pleuronectiformes; Cynoglossidae. The record is from RefSeq and is a predicted model, not a curated record.